GGCGAACGGGUGAGUAACACGUGAGUAACCUGCCCUUGACUUUGGGAUAACUUCAGGAAACUGGGGCUAAUACCGGAUAGGAGCUCCUGCUGCAUGGUGGGGGUUGGAAAGUUUCGGCGGUUGGGGAUUGACUCGCGGCUUAUCAGCUUGUUGGUGGGGUAGUGGCUUACCAAGGCUUUGACGGGUAGCCGGCCUGAGAGGGUGACCGGCCACAUUGGGACUGAGAUACGGCCCAG
This 236-nucleotide ribosomal RNA is filed under the name uncultured Actinomycetales bacterium. Its description in RNAcentral is "partial 16S ribosomal RNA". It matches the Rfam family "Bacterial small subunit ribosomal RNA", at positions 97 to 334 of the family's 1533-position model. The record is from RNAcentral. Lineage: Bacteria; Bacillati; Actinomycetota; Actinomycetes; Actinomycetales.